AGUCGAGGGGUAGAGUUCUUCGGAGCUUGAGACCGGCGCACGGGUGCGUAACGCGUAUGCAAUCUACCUUUUACAGAGGGAUAGCCCAGAGAAAUUUGGAUUAAUACCUCAUAGUAUAAUUGAAUGGCAUCAUUUAAUUAUUAAAGUCACAACGGUAAAAGAUGAGCAUGCGUCCCAUUAGCUAGUUGGUAAGGUAACGGCUUACCAAGGCUACGAUGGGUAGGGGUCCUGAGAGGGAGAUCCCCCACACUGGUACUGAGACACGGACCAGACUCCUACGGGAGGCAGCAGUGAGGAAUAUUGGACAAUGGGCGCAAGCCUGAUCCAGCCAUGCCGCGUGCAGGAUGACGGUCCUAUGGAUUGUAAACUGCUUUUGUACAGGAAGAAACACUGGUUCGUGAACCAGCUUGACGGUACUGUAAGAAUAAGGAUCGGCUAACUCCGUGCCAGCAGCCGCGGUAAUACGGAGGAUCCAAGCGUUAUCCGGAAUCAUUGGGUUUAAAGGGUCCGUAGGCGGUUUGGUAAGUCAGUGGUGAAAGCCCAUCGCUCAACGGUGGAACGGCCAUUGAUACUGCUAGACUUGAAUUAUUAGGAAGUAACUAGAAUAUGUAGUGUAGCGGUGAAAUGCUUAGAGAUUACAUGGAAUACCAAUUGCGAAGGCAGGUUACUACUAAUAUAUUGACGCUGAUGGACGAAAGCGUGGGUAGCGAACAGGAUUAGAUACCCUGGUAGUCCACGCCGUAAACGAUGGAUACUAGCUGUUGGGCGCAAGUUCAGUGGCUAAGCGAAAGUGAUAAGUAUCCCAC
This 806-nucleotide ribosomal RNA is filed under the name Flavobacterium sp. Its description in RNAcentral is "bacterial SSU rRNA". It matches the Rfam family "Bacterial small subunit ribosomal RNA", at positions 60 to 872 of the family's 1533-position model. The record is from RNAcentral. Lineage: Bacteria; Pseudomonadati; Bacteroidota; Flavobacteriia; Flavobacteriales; Flavobacteriaceae.